This 733-nucleotide ribosomal RNA is filed under the name uncultured Staphylococcus sp. RNAcentral's name for it is "bacterial SSU rRNA". It matches the Rfam family "Bacterial small subunit ribosomal RNA", at positions 66 to 781 of the family's 1533-position model. The record is from RNAcentral. Lineage: Bacteria; Bacillati; Bacillota; Bacilli; Caryophanales; Staphylococcaceae.
GCGAACGGACGAGAAGCUUGCUUCUCUGAUGUUAGCGGCAGACGGGUGAGUAACACGUGGAUAACCUACCUAUAAGACUGGGAUAACUUCGGGAAACCGGAGCUAAUACCGGAUAAUAUUUUGAACCGCAUGGUUCAAAAGUGAAAGACGGUCUUGCUGUCACUUAUAGAUGGAUCCGCGCUGCAUUAGCUAGUUGGUAAGGUAACGGCUUACCAAGGCAACGAUGCAUAGCCGACCUGAGAGGGUGAUCGGCCACACUGGAACUGAGACACGGUCCAGACUCCUACGGGAGGCAGCAGUAGGGAAUCUUCCGCAAUGGGCGAAAGCCUGACGGAGCAACGCCGCGUGAGUGAUGAAGGUCUUCGGAUCGUAAAACUCUGUUAUUAGGGAAGAACAUAUGUGUAAGUAACUGUACACAUCUUGACGGUACCUAAUCAGAAAGCCACGGCUAACUACGUGCCAGCAGCCGCGGUAAUACGUAGGUGGCAAGCGUUAUCCGGAAUUAUUGGGCGUAAAGCGCGCGUAGGCGGUUUUUUAAGUCUGAUGUGAAAGCCCACGGCUCAACCGUGGAGGGUCAUUGGAAACUGGAAAACUUGAGUGCAGAAGAGGAAAGUGGAAUUCCAUGUGUAGCGGUGAAAUGCGCAGAGAUAUGGAGGAACACCAGUGGCGAAGGCGACUUUCUGGUCUGUAACUGACGCUGAUGUGCGAAAGCGUGGGGAUCAAACAGGAUUAG